CAAUAACAUGAAUUCAGCACUUAUAUGUACUAUAUACGUAUAUGUAUAUGUAUGUGUGUGUGUGUGUGUAUUUCUAAGUAUAUAUAUAUGUGUGUGUAUUGUGAAAGAAGGAGAAGAGAAGAAGAAGAGAAGAAAGGGUGUGUAAAUGUGUACUGUGAAAGAAAGAUUUGAGGAGAUCUUGCCAUUAAAGUCGCUUUCUCUAUCUCUGACUCUCAUGGCGAAAGCGACCCCUCACCCUUCGUUUGAUUUACACAUUCACCAUUUUUCUUCCGUAUUUCCUGCAAGAAAACACUCACCCUUUUCUUAACCCGACACUGUUCCUCCGUUCCAUUUACUACUACCAUCUCUUCCUUAUAAAUAUUGCUGUAUUUAGCUAAGCAUUUAUUCAACUCACCCUCCAUCUUAUUCUUUUCUGCACUUCUAAUUUUAUUCUCUUCUUCUUCUUCCUCUUAUUCCCUGCUACUCUUAUUUGUUGCAUUCCAUUCUUCCUUUUGCAGCUUCAUCCAUUUAAGGGUCAAAGGUGGUACCUUUCCAGGUUUUUAUUUAAUUAUUUAUUUAUGAUGGGUAUGGUUAAUCAAUUGCUUUUUUGCAAUCUUAUUUGUGAACAUGUAUUGUUGUUCUCUUGUAAGAAUUAAUGUUUGUCUGGAAUGAUAUCCAUAAAGAUUAAAGAGUUUACUUGAUCAAGAGAGAUCAAAUGGAUUUUUAUUUUUGUUGGCUUAUUGUUGAUUUUAGGGUUUGUAGAGGAGUUCAGUCUUCCAAUUAGUAAGGUUGGAUCUCCAUAGUGAGUUUAUUUCAUUAAGAAAGAUCAAAUGGAUCUUGAUUUUUCUAGUCCAUCACUUUUCAAUUGAAAUUUUUGUUGGGAUUUCAAUUUGAUUGGUUCAAUUCCCAUUUUUCUUACUGAAGAAAUUUUACUAUUUUAAGUAUCUUUUUAGUUAAGAUGUCAUGCCUUUUUUUAAUUUUUUAAAUAUAUAUUAAGGUUGUUGCUUUGUUAAGUUCAUGGCUUUUGGCUUUGUGAUUGAUCCAUUUAUGAUCCUCUAUCUAGACUAAUAAGAUUGCCUGAAAAUGUUUUGAGCUAUUCCUUGUACACUGAAAGUUAUUUUCUAUGGAUGUUUAAAUUAAUAAUAAAGAUAUAUCUACGUAUGCACCUUGAUUUUAGCAUUUAUAAAACCAUUCACAGAUCAAUAAUAAUGAUAAUAAUAAUAAUAAUAAUUUGUGGAGUGUUAGGCUAGAGAGAAAAUGCCUCAUUUCUGCUUUCCAUGUUUUUCCUCCUUAAGGUAGAAAGAGUGACUUAAAGCUCCAUAUCCAUAUUCUGAGCAGUAACAAAGGAGUGACUAGCUUCCUAUGUGAAAUUAUUUUCUUUUAUCAACGAAAAUUAUCUUUUCUUAUUUUUCUUUACAGUGGAGAGAAGUUGCACAUGCUUCAUCUUCAUUCUUGUUUUGAAGAUUUUUCAAUGUUCAUAUUCUUCAUUUAAUUUCUUUAAAACCCAAUUUUGUUCAAGAAGUUGGUAAUCGCUGUUGUUUGUAUAUUUCUUUGUUAUUUUCUGGCAGGCAAAUAUGUGAAGAAAGUAACCUUCAUUUGCCCCUUUAAAUACUGUUCAGUUACUCAGUUAGAAUGCAAUUUUCUCUUUAUUGGAAUUUUCAUUACUUAACAGAUGAUUGAGUUAGUGGGAUAGUUCUGAGGCUUCGUUUGUGACAAUACAUGUUUGAAUCUCUUCUGAGGAAUCUAGUAAGUUGUUGAAUGCUAAGUAGUUGGAAGGCAGAUUAAAAUGUUAUGUUCUGUGACAUUAUACCUUAGCAUUAAAUCAUGGUUUAUACUAAUGACACUGGUUACUUUUGCUGAAUUGAGGAGUGGUUCGAGAGAGCUUCCUUCAGCCCACUCAUGGAUGAGAUUGGGGUUGAAUUAGCUGCCGACUCAUUCAUCCAACCACUCAGUAGAAAAGAAGAUGUUUUGUGCUACUGUGAUUGAGUGAAUGAUGCGGGAGAUAGUUUCUAUCCCUCUCUUCCCUUGCUUGGACUGAAGGGAGCUCCCUUUUUCCAUGCUUUCAUUUUUUUCCACCCUCGGGGAUUUACACUUUUUCCUUCAAAUGGUACAGCUUUCAACAGGUGGGAUCUUCUCCUCAUCUCCGUCAUAGAAUAAAUGUGACUAUCAGAGUUGGAGUUCCCACUUCGAUUGACCAUGCUGCUGUCAUGUAAUUUUAUUCAUGAGAUUCAUCUUUGGAAAACCAAAAGCCAAUUUCCCGAGCACUGAUGAAGGGUUAUUAUAAACAGCCUGACGUAUUAUUGGUCCCCGCCCCACUCUGGUCUUUUUAGGCAGCAGCAUCACUAAGUGGUAUUCACAGCUAUGAUAUUCCCUGUCUUGUUCAAUUUCUAUUAUAUUCUCUCUGUGGCAUUUGGUACUCCGAAGAUUUUAGGUCCCCCGAAGUCUAGAUCUUGUAAGAUUAUGAUGUUCCAUUUUCUGGAUUGAAGUAACAAUAAGGAAUAAGAAGGAACCUGGCCUCUCCUAUGGAUGCCGGUUGCUCUCUAGAGACUAACCUGGAUUUGAGUAAUUUUACUGAUACAGAAGAUUGGCGUUUGAGUGGCUGUUGGGGUUAUAGCAGCAUAGAUGGAUGCAUUAACGAGUUUGAAGACAACAUGAUGCCAUCAAAAGGCUUCAUUGAAGGCUGAGUGGUCCCCUCGGGGCUAAAGCCUGAGUUCAGGAGUUUGAACUCAUGUGUAUGCAGCAACACCGGGAUGAGCGGCCCCCUCGGGGAUGAAGUGUACAUAGUUUUAUAGUUUUGUGCAAAGUGUUGUUUAGUUGAACGUCCAACAUUUGGUCCUCCUACCUAAUGGGUUGUUGAAUCAUUGUGAUUUACUUACUACAUUCACAAAUCCUGUCGGGCUGGGAUGUGGGGGCCCGGGGCGAAGGAUUUCGCGUUUAUGUGGGCAAGUUGAAUGCCCAACGGAGUGAGGGCUUGCACAUGUACUUUAUUUCGUUGUGGACUUGUUUUUCUUAGUUGCUUUCCCUUUCGAAAUUGACA
Ipomoea triloba (trilobed morning glory) is the source of this 3016-nucleotide long non-coding RNA. RefSeq lists it as uncharacterized. NCBI's taxonomy places the organism in Eukaryota, Viridiplantae, Streptophyta, Magnoliopsida, Solanales, Convolvulaceae. The transcript has 3 exons. The record is from RefSeq and is a predicted model, not a curated record.